CUAAGGGCGUUGAAGCAUGAUCGUAAGGACAUGUGGAGCGCUUAGAAGUGAGAAUGCCGGUGUGAGUAGCGAAAGACGGGUGAGAAUCCCGUCCACCGAUUGACUAAGGUUUCCAGAGGAAGGCUCGUCCGCUCUGGGUUAGUCGGGUCCUAAGCUGAGGCCGACAGGCGUAGGCGAUGGAUAACAGGUUGAUAUUCCUGUACCACCUAUAAUCGUUUUAAUCGAUGGGGGGACGCAGUAGGAUAGGCGAAGCGUGCGAUUGGAUUGCACGUCUAAGCAGUAAGGCUGAGUAUUAGGCAAAUCCGGUACUCGUUAAGGCUGAGCUGUGAUGGGGAGAAGACAUUGUGUCUUCGAGUCGUUGAUUUCACACUGCCGAGAAAAGCCUCUAGAUAGAAAAUAGGUGCCCGUACCGCAAACCGACACAGGUAGUCAAGAUGAGAAUUCUAAGGUGAGCGAGCGAACUCUCGUUAAGGAACUCGGCAAAAUGACCCCGUAACUUCGGGAGAAGGGGUGCUCUUUAGGGUUAACGCCCAGAAGAGCCGCAGUGAAUAGGCCCAAGCGACUGUUUAUCAAAAACACAGGUCUCUGCUAAACCGUAAGGUGAUGUAUAGGGGCUGACGCCUGCCCGGUGCUGGAAGGUUAAGAGGAGUGGUUAGCUUCUGCGAAGCUACGAAUCGAAGCCCCAGUAAACGGCGGCCGUAACUAUAACGGUCCUAAGGUAGCGAAAUUCCUUGUCGGGUAAGUUCCGACCCGCACGAAAGGCGUAACGAUUUGGGCACUGUCUCAACGAGAGACUCGGUGAAAUCAUAGUACCUGUGAAGAUGCAGGUUACCCGCGACAGGACGGAAAGACCCCGUGGAGCUUUACUGUAGCCUGAUAUUGAAAUUCGGCACAGCUUGUACAGGAUAGGUAGGAGCCUUUGAAACGUGAGCGCUAGCUUACGUGGAGGCGCUGGUGGGAUACUACCCUAGCUGUGUUGGCUUUCUAACCCGCACCACUUAUCGUGGUGGGAGACAGUGUCAGGCGGGCAGUUUGACUGGGGCGGUCGCCUCCUAAAAGGUAACGGAGGCGCUCAAAGGUUCCCUCAGAAUGGUUGGAAAUCAUUCAUAGAGUGUAAAGGCAUAAGGGAGCUUGACUGCGAGACCUACAAGUCGAGCAGGGUCGAAAGACGGACUUAGUGAUCCGGUGGUUCCGCAUGGAAGGGCCAUCGCUCAACGGAUAAAAGCUACCCCGGGGAUAACAGGCUUAUCUCCCCCAAGAGUUCACAUCGACGGGGAGGUUUGGCACCUCGAUGUCGGCUCAUCGCAUCCUGGGGCUGUAGUCGGUCCCAAGGGUUGGGCUGUUCGCCCAUUAAAGCGGUACGCGAGCUGGGUUCAGAACGUCGUGAGACAGUUCGGUCCCUAUCCGUCGUGGGCGUAGGAAAUUUGAGAGGAGCUGUCCUUAGUACGAGAGGACCGGGAUGGACAUACCUCUGGUGUACCAGUUGUCGUGCCAACGGCAUAGCUGGGUAGCUAUGUGUGGACGGGAUAAGUGCUGAAAGCAUCUAAGCAUGAAGCCCCCCUCAAGAUGAGAUUUCCCAACUUCGGUUAUAAGAUCCCUCAAAGAUGAUGAGGUUAAUAGGUUCGAGGUGGAAGCAUGGUGACAUGUGGAGCUGACGAAUACUAAUCGAUCGAAGACUUAAUCAA
Molecule: ribosomal RNA, 1685 nt
Filed under: Staphylococcus aureus
Lineage: Bacteria; Bacillati; Bacillota; Bacilli; Caryophanales; Staphylococcaceae
Description: partial 23S ribosomal RNA
Rfam family: Bacterial large subunit ribosomal RNA
Source: RNAcentral